GUUUUAUUUGAAUCAAUCAGAGAGCUUUAAUACAAUCAUCCAAUCAGGAGACAGAGUCGGGAUCUGACCCUAAUUCAAAAUGAUUGGCGCGGCUCGAUGAAUCAAUUGCCACUUUCAACCAGAGGUUUAUUUUUCCUCUCCCCUUCGCAAUGAAAAUAAUAAAAAUAAACCUCUGGAACCAGGGUAGAAGAUAAGUGACAUUAUAUCAAAACAACA
RNAcentral lists this long non-coding RNA (216 nucleotides) under Paramuricea clavata. Lineage: Eukaryota; Metazoa; Cnidaria; Anthozoa; Malacalcyonacea; Plexauridae. The record is from RNAcentral.